Molecule: long non-coding RNA, 1154 nt
Organism: Diceros bicornis minor
Lineage: Eukaryota; Metazoa; Chordata; Mammalia; Perissodactyla; Rhinocerotidae
Exons: 5
Source: RefSeq, a predicted model, not a curated record
CAGGUAAAAUUCUCCCUUAAAUAGGAUUCUCAUUAUUGUUCUUUUAGGAUCCGAGAGUUAUUUUAUUUGGGUAUCGAAUUGUGAUUGUCACAUUGUCACAGAUCAGCAGUGACUUGUGCAUAAUGAAUUACUGUUCUUUCUUACAGGUUGCAAGUAAACCUCUAAUGAUUGUAGGGUCUAAUUAGCAACAGUGUCAACUCUUUUAACUAGAAAUAAUUGAUUAAAAACUUUCACUGUGAGAGGUAGGAAGAAGCAGGCUGUCUUUCUUUGUCUCUUCUUGAGCUCGAGGAAACUCCCUAGCACCCCUAAAGCAAACCUCAUUGCUCAAGGUGCAGCUCAGGUUUAGCCCCACAGCACUCCCUGGACGUGGAAUCUUCAGGAAUGGUUUAAACCUCACCAUGUGCUCUCUGAGGGCAGACAAGAAUGCCUGCUUCCUUAAGCGUGCAGAAUAGUAAACACUCCCCAAAUUGAACUUAUUCAGAGGAUGACUAAUAUAGAGGGGAAAAAAUCUAAUUGCUGGGCAACUCAGUAUCCCCACCAGUUCGAAUCUGGGUUUUCUGCCUUCAAUUUCCAUGCUCAUUUCAUUUCCCAAUUAUGUCUCCCUUUUAGCUCCACCCAUUCCUAAGAAACACCCAAUUUAAAAAAAGCACUGGAGCUCACGUGUCACUGGAUGAGAAAAGAAACUCUGUGUCACAGCAUGUAAUUCUGAACUAUAUGAUUUUCCUAAAGGUCUUGGACUUCAGGUGAAAGACGUUCUGUCAGCCAGGAUUCAGGAACAUCCCUCAGGAAGAGAGAGCUACCUGCUGCUUUGUCUGUGUAUUGUGCCCAGAGAGAGAAAUAUGUAAUCAGACAGAAAAGAAAAGUGUCUGGGGGGCUCAAGUUUGAGUUGAAACCAGGCUCAGGGUCCACCUGUCCUCGCUGAUCCGUGGAUUUCUGUGUGACCAGGCCUGGAUGAUGGCUGUGGAGUAGGAAAGAAAUAGAAAGAAAAGACCUUGGAGUGUAGAACCGCGAGAAGGUAACGGUACUUUCUUGCCUGGAUGUGUCAGAUGGCACAGGGCAGUGACUGUGCUCCUCGCUGCUGUCCGUGCAGACCUGCAGGCGCCCCCUCACCCAGGUCUGUGUGUUCACCCCACUUAGCCACUCACAGGCCUCCC